Molecule: ribosomal RNA, 497 nt
Filed under: uncultured bacterium
Lineage: Bacteria
Description: partial 16S ribosomal RNA
Rfam family: Bacterial small subunit ribosomal RNA
Source: RNAcentral
GAUGAACGCUGGCGGCGUGCCUAAUACAUGCAAGUCGAGCGAACAGACGAGGAGCUUGCUCCUCUGACGUUAGCGGCGGACGGGUGAGUAACACGUGGAUAACCUACCUAUAAGACUGGGAUAACUUCGGGAAACCGGAGCUAAUACCGGAUAAUAUAUUGAACCGCAUGGUUCAAUAGUGAAAGACGGUUUUGCUGUCACUUAUAGAUGGAUCCGCGCCGCAUUAGCUAGUUGGUAAGGUAACGGCUUACCAAGGCAACGAUGCGUAGCCGACCUGAGAGGGUGAUCGGCCACACUGGGACUGAGACCCGGUCCAGACUCCUUGGGGAGGCAGCCAGAGGGAAUCUUGCGCAAUGGGCGAAAACCUGACGGAGAAACGCCGCGGGAGUGAUGAAGGACUUCGGAUCGUAAAACUCUGUUUUUAGGGAAGAAACAAUGUGUAAGUAACUAUGCACGUCUUGACGGUACCUAAGCAGAAAGCCACGGCUAACUACGUG